This 995-nucleotide ribosomal RNA is filed under the name uncultured bacterium. RNAcentral's name for it is "bacterial SSU rRNA". It matches the Rfam family "Bacterial small subunit ribosomal RNA", at positions 355 to 1375 of the family's 1533-position model. The record is from RNAcentral.
UGGGGAAUAUUGCACAAUGGGGGAAACCCUGAUGCAGCGACGCCGCGUGGAGGAAGAAGGUCUUCGGAUUGUAAACUCCUGUUGUUGAGGAAGAUAAUGACGGUACUCAACAAGGAAGUGACGGCUAACUACGUGCCAGCAGCCGCGGUAAAACGUAGGUCACAAGCGUUGUCCGGAAUUACUGGGUGUAAAGGGAGCGCAGGCGGGCGAUCAAGUUGGAAGUGAAAUCCAUAGGCUCAACCCAUGAACUGCUUUCAAAACUGGUCGUCUUGAGUAGUGCAGAGGUAGGCGGAAUUCCCGGUGUAGCGGUGGAAUGCGUAGAUAUCGGGAGGAACACCAGUGGCGAAGGCGGCCUACUGGGCACCAACUGACGCUGAGGCUCGAAAGUGUGGGUAGCAAACAGGAUUAGAUACCCUGGUAGUCCACACCGUAAACGAUGAUUACUAGGUGUUGGGAGAUUGACCCUCUCAGUGCCGCAGUUAACACAAUAAGUAAUCCACCUGGGGAGUACGACCGCAAGGUUGAAACUCAAAGGAAUUGACGGGGGCCCGCACAAGCAGUGGAGUAUGUGGUUUAAUUCGACGCAACGCGAAGAACCUUACCAAGUCUUGACAUCCCUUGACGAUGCUGGAAACAGUAUUUCUCUUCGGAGCAAGGAGACAGGUGGUGCAUGGUUGUCGUCAGCUCGUGUCGUGAGAUGUUGGGUUAAGUCCCGCAACGAGCGCAACCCUUAUGGUCAGUUACUACGCAAGAGGACUCUGGUCAGACUGCCGUUGACAAAACGGAGGAAGGUGGGGAUGACGUCAAAUCAUCAUGCCCUUUAUGACUUGGGCUACACACGUACUACAAUGGCGUUAAACAAAGAGAAGCAAGACCGCGAGGUGGAGCAAAACUCAGAAACAACGUCCCAGUUCGGACUGCAGGCUGCAACUCGCCUGCACGAAGUCGGAAUUGCUAGUAAUCGCAGAUCAGCAUGCUGCGGUGAAUACGUUCCC